CGUACACUCCUACGGGAGGCAGCAGUGGGGAAUUUUGGACAAUGGGCGCAAGCCUGAUCCAGCCAUGCCGCGUGCGGGAAGAAGGCCUUCGGGUUGUAAACCGCUUUUGUCAGGGAAGAAAAGGUUCUGGCUAAUACCUGGGACUCAUGACGGUACCUGAAGAAUAAGCACCGGCUAACUACGUGCCAGCAGCCGCGGUAAUACGUAGGGUGCAAGCGUUAAUCGGAAUUACUGGGCGUAAAGCGUGCGCAGGCGGUUAUGCAAGACAGAGGUGAAAUCCCCGGGCUCAACCUGGGAACUGCCUUUGUGACUGCAUGGCUAGAGUACGGUAGAGGGGGAUGGAAUUCCGCGUGUAGCAGUGAAAUGCGUAGAUAUGCGGAGGAACACCGAUGGCGAAGGCAAUCCCCUGGACCUGUACUGACGCUCAUGCACGAAAGCGUGGGGAGCAAACAGGAUUAGAUACCCCAGUAGUCCCAUGAU
RNAcentral lists this ribosomal RNA (480 nucleotides) under uncultured organism. RNAcentral describes it as "partial 16S ribosomal RNA". It matches the Rfam family "Bacterial small subunit ribosomal RNA", at positions 330 to 801 of the family's 1533-position model. The record is from RNAcentral.